RNAcentral lists this ribosomal RNA (465 nucleotides) under Vreelandella stevensii. RNAcentral describes it as "partial 16S ribosomal RNA". It matches the Rfam family "Bacterial small subunit ribosomal RNA", at positions 338 to 795 of the family's 1533-position model. Lineage: Bacteria; Pseudomonadati; Pseudomonadota; Gammaproteobacteria; Oceanospirillales; Halomonadaceae. The record is from RNAcentral.
CCUACGGGUGUCAGCAGUGGGGAAUAUUGGACAAUGGGCGAAAGCCUGAUCCAGCCAUACCGCGUGUGUGAAGAAGGCCUUCGGGUUGUAAAGCACUUUCAGUGGGGAAGAAAGCCUUGGGGCUAAUACCCUCGAGGAAGGACAUCACCCACAGAAGAAGCACCGGCUAACUCCGUGCCAGCAGCCGCGGUAAUACGGAGGGUGCGAGCGUUAAUCGGAAUUACUGGGCGUAAAGCGCGCGUAGGCGGUCUGAUAAGCCGGUUGUGAAAGCCCCGGGCUCAACCUGGGAACGGCAUCCGGAACUGUCAGGCUAGAGUGCAGGAGAGGAAGGUAGAAUUCCCGGUGUAGCGGUGAAAUGCGUAGAGAUCGGGAGGAAUACCAGUGGCGAAGGCGGCCUUCUGGACUGACACUGACGCUGAGGUGCGAAAGCGUGGGUAGCAAACAGGAUUAGAUACCCGAGUAGUC